Molecule: ribosomal RNA, 254 nt
Filed under: uncultured bacterium
Lineage: Bacteria
Description: partial 16S ribosomal RNA
Rfam family: Bacterial small subunit ribosomal RNA
Source: RNAcentral
UACGAGAGGCCCAAACGUUAUUCGGAAUUACUGGGCUUAAAGAGUUCGUAGGCGGCGCAGAAAGUAGGGUGUGAAAGCCCUCGGCUCAACCGAGGAAUUGCGCUCUAAACUACUGUGCUUGAGGAAUCUAGAGGUGAGCGGAACUGAUGGUGGAGCGGUGAAAUGCGUUGAUAUCAUCAGGAACACCGGGAGGCGAAGGCGGCUCACUGGGGAUUUUCUGACGCUGAGGAACGAAAGCCAGGGGAGCGAACGGG